GUACACUCCUACGGGAGGCAGCAGUGGGGAAUAUUGGACAAUGGGCGCAAGCCUGAUCCAGCCAUGCCGCGUGAGUGAUGAAGGCCCUAGGGUUGUAAAGCUCUUUCACCGGAGAAGAUAAUGACGGUAUCCGGAGAAGAAGCCCCGGCUAACUUCGUGCCAGCAGCCGCGGUAAUACGAAGGGGGCUAGCGUUGUUCGGAAUUACUGGGCGUAAAGCGCACGUAGGCGGAUCGAUCAGUCAGGGGUGAAAUCCCAGGGCUCAACCCUGGAACUGCCUUUGAUACUGUCGAUCUGGGGUAUGGAAGAGGUGAGUGGAAUUCCGAGUGUAGAGGUGAAAUUCGUAGAUAUUCGGAGGAACACCAGUGGCGAAGGCGGCUCACUGGUCCAUUACUGACGCUGAGGUGCGAAAGCGUGGGGAGCAAACAGGAUUAGAAACCCUGGUAGUCCCA
This 450-nucleotide ribosomal RNA is filed under the name uncultured organism. RNAcentral describes it as "partial 16S ribosomal RNA". It matches the Rfam family "Bacterial small subunit ribosomal RNA", at positions 331 to 797 of the family's 1533-position model. The record is from RNAcentral.